GUUAGAACGCUCGUAGUCGGAUUUCGGGGCGGGCCGACCGGUCUGCCGAUGGGUACGCACUGGUCGGCGCGUCCUUCCCUCCGGAGACCGUGCCUACUCUUAACUGAGCGGGGGCGGGAGACGGAACGUUUACUUUGAAAAAAUCAGAGUGUUUCAAGCAGGCAGCUCGCUCUUGCAUGGAUUAGCAUGGGAUAAUGAAAUAGGACUUUGGUGCUAUUUUGUUGGUUUCGAACACCGAAGUAAUGAUGAGAAGGGACAGUCAGGGGCACUCGUAUUCCACCGAGAGAGGUGAAAUUCUCAGACCAGUGGAAGACGAACCACUGCGAAAGCAUUUGCCAGGGAUGUUUUCACUGAUCAAGAACGAAAGUUAGGGGAUCGAAGACGAUCAGAUACCGUCGUAGUCUUAACCAUAAACCAUGCCGACUAGGGAUUGGGGGAUGUUCACUGAUUGACUCCCUCAGCACCUUACGGGAAACUAAAGUCUUUGGGUUCCGGGGGGAGUAUGGUCGCAAGGCUGAAACUUAAAGGAAUUGACGGAAGGGCACCACCAGGUGUGGAGCCUGCGGCUUAAUUUGACUCAACACGGGGAAACUUACCAGGUCCAGACAUUGUGAGGAUUGACAGAUUGAGAGCUCUUUCUUGAUUCGAUGGGUGGUGGUGCAUGGCCGUUCUUAGUUGGUGGAGUGAUUUGUCUGGUUAAUUCCGUUAAC
Molecule: ribosomal RNA, 710 nt
Filed under: uncultured marine eukaryote
Lineage: Eukaryota
Description: SSU rRNA
Rfam family: Eukaryotic small subunit ribosomal RNA
Source: RNAcentral